Molecule: ribosomal RNA, 269 nt
Filed under: uncultured prokaryote
Description: partial 16S ribosomal RNA
Rfam family: Bacterial small subunit ribosomal RNA
Source: RNAcentral
UACGUAGGUGGCAAGCGUUGUCCGGAUUUACUGGGCGUAAAGGGAGCGUAGGCGGAUUUUUAAGUGAGAUGUGAAAUACCCGGGCUUAACUUGGGUGCUGCAUUUCAAACUGGAAGUCUAGAGUGCAGGAGAGGAGAAUGGAAUUCCUAGUGUAGCGGUGAAAUGCGUAGAGAUUAGGAAGAACACCAGUGGCGAAGGCGAUUCUCUGGACUGUAACUGACGCUGAGGCUCGAAAGCGUGGGGAGCAAACAGGAUUAGAUACCCGCGUA